AUGUAUUUGCGGCCAUCUGGUCGAUGCACGUUUGGACGCUCACGUUUUCGAAUUCAUCUUUCUGAGAAAUCAUUGUCAGUCUUGCGAAAGUGAUUGUGAGUCUCUAUUUAAUCAGCCGAAUACGAAGUUGAUUCAGUCUUGAAACACUUUAGGAAUAGAGAAGAAACUGAGAAAGAUCCAACACAAUGCUGUUCAAGUACACCCUGGUAUUGCUUGUCUGCGUAAUCCUGAUUGGCACAUCCGAUGCAUGGUUAUUCCGCAGAAGAAAUAAGGAGAAGCUUGUGUAUACGAGCGGGGGGGUGAAAAUCAAGUUAGUAGUAAAGAGACCAUCGAGUCUUGUCAGACCGGAAAAGGAACUAGGUUGUAAGGAUAUCGAGGGUUGCGGAGGGAUACGGGAUGCACCUAGCGGUAUAGGAAAAGCUGGUGGAGCUGCCGCCGCAGGGAUUGCGGACGGAAGUGCCGACAUGAGAGAUGCUAUGGCAGCUGCUGGAGUUGGAGUUACUUAAAAUGUCGAUCAUUUAAAAUCUACAAACACAAUGAAUACCGCCGGAGAAAAAAGGAUUUUAGCUGGCUUGGAAGAAUAUGUAUAGAUUAUGAAGUAUAUUAUUUUAACAAUAAAUUUAUUUCUCAAAGAAACAA
Mya arenaria is the source of this 639-nucleotide long non-coding RNA. RefSeq lists it as uncharacterized. NCBI's taxonomy places the organism in Eukaryota, Metazoa, Mollusca, Bivalvia, Myida, Myidae. The record is from RefSeq and is a predicted model, not a curated record. The transcript is spliced from 4 exons.